CCUACGGGCGGCAGCAGUGGGGAAUAUUGGUCAAUGGGCGGAACCCUGAUCCAGCGACGCCGCGUGAGUGAAGAAGGAUUUCGGUACGUAAAACUCUAUCAGCCGGGAAGCAAAUGACGGUACCUGACUCAGAAGCCCCGGCUAAAUACGUACCAGCAGCCGCGGUACUACGUAGGGGGCAAGCGUUAUCCGGAUUUACUGGGUGUAAAGGGGGCGUAGCCGGCAGCGCAAGGCUGGAGGGAAAUGCCGGGGCCCAACCCCGGAACUGCUCUGGAAACUGUGAAGCUGGAGUGCAGGAGAGGUAAGCGGAAUGCCUGGUGUAGCGGUGAAAUGCGUAGAUAUCAGGAGGAACACCGGCGGCGAAGGCGGCUUACUGGACUGUAACUGACGCUGAGGCUCGAAGGCGUGGGUAGCAAACAGGAUUAGAUACCCCAGUAGUC
RNAcentral lists this ribosomal RNA (440 nucleotides) under uncultured bacterium. RNAcentral's name for it is "partial 16S ribosomal RNA". It matches the Rfam family "Bacterial small subunit ribosomal RNA", at positions 338 to 795 of the family's 1533-position model. The record is from RNAcentral.